RNAcentral lists this ribosomal RNA (348 nucleotides) under uncultured bacterium. RNAcentral's name for it is "partial 16S ribosomal RNA". It matches the Rfam family "Bacterial small subunit ribosomal RNA", at positions 338 to 682 of the family's 1533-position model. The record is from RNAcentral.
CCUACGGGUGGCAGCAGGGAGGAAUAGUGGUCAAUGGGCGCGAGCCUGAACCAGCCAAGUAGCGUGAAGGAUGACUGCCCUACGGGUUGUAAACUUCUUUUAUAAAGGAAUAAAGUGAGGCACGUGUGCCUUUUUGUAUGUACUUUAUGAAUAAGGAUCGGCUAACUCCGUGCCAGCAGCCGCGGUAAUACGGAGGAUCCGAGCGUUAUCCGGAUUUAGUGGGUUUAAAGGGUGCGUCGGCUGUGAGGUAAGGCAGCGGUGAAAUGCCCCCGCUCACCGGGGUGAAGUGCCCUUGAUACUGCCUUGCUGGACUGCGGCUGCCGUGGGCGGUAUGUGUUGUGUAUCGGU